This 468-nucleotide ribosomal RNA is filed under the name uncultured bacterium. RNAcentral describes it as "partial 16S ribosomal RNA". It matches the Rfam family "Bacterial small subunit ribosomal RNA", at positions 28 to 507 of the family's 1533-position model. The record is from RNAcentral.
GACGAACGCUGGCGGCGUGCUUAACACAUGCAAGUCGAACGGAAAGGCCCUGCUUUUGUGGGGUGCUCGAGUGGCGAACGGGUGAGUAACACGUGAGUAACCUGCCCUUGACUUUGGGAUAACUUCAGGAAACUGGGGCUAAUACCGGAUAGGAGCUCCUGCUGCAUGGUGGGGGUUGGAAAGUUUCGGCGGUUGGGGAUGGACUCGCGGCUUAUCAGCUUGUUGGUGGGGUAGUGGCUUACCAAGGCUUUGACGGGUAGCCGGCCUGAGAGGGUGACCGGCCACAUUGGGACUGAGAUACGGCCCAGACUGCUACGGGAGGCAGCAGUGGGGAAUAUUGCACAAUGGGCGGAAGCCGGAUGCAGCAACGCCGCGGGCGGGAUGACGGCCUGCGGGUUGUAAACCGCUUUCGCCUGUGACGAAGCGUGAGUGACGGUAAUGGGUAAAGAAGCACCGGCUAACUACGUG